GGUCAUAGCUCAGUGGUAGAUCAUCUGCUUUGCAUACAGAAGGUCCCAGGUUCUAUCCCCAUUGGCAUCU
Podarcis lilfordi (Lilford's wall lizard) is the source of this 70-nucleotide non-coding RNA. The record is from the annotation of a GenBank genome assembly. NCBI's taxonomy places the organism in Eukaryota, Metazoa, Chordata, Lepidosauria, Squamata, Lacertidae.